Molecule: long non-coding RNA, 687 nt
Organism: Piliocolobus tephrosceles (Ugandan red Colobus)
Lineage: Eukaryota; Metazoa; Chordata; Mammalia; Primates; Cercopithecidae
Exons: 2
Source: RefSeq, a predicted model, not a curated record
CAGCGGCUCAGCCCCUCGCCCCCAGCGACGAGUCGACGCCAGGCCCGGAGCGUUGGGGCCGCAACCGGCCGCCCAGCUCCUGCUCACCUGCGGUCUCGCCGCCUCGCAGUGCCUGGGCCGCCGGCCCGCAGCGCCUCCCGGGGGUAGUCUAGCGCCAGCAACCGGCCACCCGCAGCGGAGCCCGUUGCCUUGGCGACCUGGGCUGCCGAACUCCCGCGGCACUCGCGCUACGGCGGCUCGGAUGGGACCAGGACGAUUCGCGUCCCCUUCCGCAGCCGCGGAGGGGGCAGAGGAGGGACGAGGUCGAGGGCUGAGCUGCGAAGGAGGGAUCUGGGUUGGAAGUAUACACCCAGAUGGCCUGAAGUAACUGAAGAAUCACAAAAGAAGUGCAAAUGGCCUGCCCUGCCUUAACUGAUGACAUUCCACCACAAAAGAAGUGAAAAUGGCCGGUCCUUGCCUUAAGUGAUGACAUUACCUUGUGAAAUUCCCUUUCCUGGCUCAGAAAACUCCCCCACUAAGCACCUUGUGACCUCCACUCCUGCCCGGCAGAGAACAACCCCCCUUUGUAAUUUUCCGUUACCUACCCAACUCCUAUAAAACGGCUGCACCCUUAUAUCCCUUUGCUGACUCUCUGUUUGGACUCAGUCUGCCUGCACCCAAGUGAAAUAAACAGCCUUGUUGCUCACA